GUUCGCUGCCACAUAGGCAGCUCAGAAA
Kushneria marisflavi is the source of this 28-nucleotide non-coding RNA. The record is from Rfam. NCBI's taxonomy places the organism in Bacteria, Pseudomonadati, Pseudomonadota, Gammaproteobacteria, Oceanospirillales, Halomonadaceae.